UACGUAGGGUCCGAGCGUUGUCCGGAAUUAUUGGGCGUAAAGGGCUCGUAGGCGGUCUGUUGCGUCGGGAGUGAAAACUUACAGCUUAACUGUGAGCGUGCUUCCGAUACGGGCAGACUUGAGGUAUUCAGGGGAGAACGGAAUUCCUGGUGUAGCGGUGAAAUGCGCAGAUAUCAGGAGGAACACCGGUGGCGAAGGCGGUUCUCUGGGAAUAUCCUGACGCUGAGGAGCGAAAGCGUGGGUAGCAAACAGG
This 253-nucleotide ribosomal RNA is filed under the name uncultured bacterium. RNAcentral's name for it is "partial 16S ribosomal RNA". It matches the Rfam family "Bacterial small subunit ribosomal RNA", at positions 524 to 776 of the family's 1533-position model. The record is from RNAcentral.